AAAAUCAGAUCAAAGGAAGAAGAAAAAAAUGGCAAUCAACAGAAUUUCAGGUCUCAAUGGGGGAAUGAAGAUAGUAUAUAUAGAUUAAGUUCUCAUAAAAUACUAGAAGAUUCAGUCAAACUGCAUUUGUGGAACUGCACUGUGGAAUUUCACCUGAGGAGCCCCAUCUGUAUGAGGGGCUGAUUUAGCAGAGAGGUUCUGGAUUUCAAGCCAAUGCCAUUAUGUGAUGAGAUUUUGAGGCUCCUGGAAAGAGGUUAAUAGUCCAGUCAGUCAGAGCUGGUGAAGUAGACUUGCUGUAGAAGGUGUGAAGGCCCAGUCCUCCCUCCACGUUUCUCCACCCUUGAAAGGUCGUGUGCAUGUCUGUUCACCCAUGAAAGAAGAGGAAGACACCAAAUGGAUGGCAUUGAUUUCAUUUUAAGUAAGU
This 424-nucleotide long non-coding RNA is filed under the name Homo sapiens (human). RNAcentral describes it as "HSALNT0369351". The record is from RNAcentral. Lineage: Eukaryota; Metazoa; Chordata; Mammalia; Primates; Hominidae.